CCUUCGAUAGCUCAGUUGGUAGAGCGGAGGACUGUAGAGGCAUCAGCUGAAAUCCUUAGGUCGCUGGUUCAAAUCCGGCUCGAAGGA
Molecule: transfer RNA, 87 nt
Filed under: Oreochromis niloticus (Nile tilapia)
Lineage: Eukaryota; Metazoa; Chordata; Actinopteri; Cichliformes; Cichlidae
Also listed under: 1 other name
Rfam family: tRNA
About the family: Transfer RNA (tRNA) molecules are approximately 80 nucleotides in length. Their secondary structure includes four short double-helical elements and three loops (D, anti-codon, and T loops). Further hydrogen bonds mediate the characteristic L-shaped molecular structure. tRNAs have two regions of fundamental functional importance: the anti-codon, which is responsible for specific mRNA codon recognition, and the 3' end, to which the tRNAs corresponding amino acid is attached (by aminoacyl-tRNA synthetases). tRNAs cope with the degeneracy of the genetic code in two manners: having more than one tRNA (with a specific anti-codon) for a particular amino acid; and 'wobble' base-pairing, i.e. permitting non-standard base-pairing at the 3rd anti-codon position.
Source: Rfam by way of RNAcentral